ACGGGAAGCAAGAUUGUCGCAGGCGGGGCAUGAUUAUGCUUUGCGUGAGGAAAGUCGGGACAGCACAGAGCACCAUACUUCUUAACAAGAAGGUAUCUGAAAAGAUAACAGACAGUGCCACAGAAAAUUACCGCUCUAAAGAGCAAGGGUGAAAACGUGAGGUAAGAGCUCACGCGUCAUUAUGGCGACAUGAUGACGGGGUAAACCUUAUGGGCUGCAAAACCAAAUAUACCGGUGUUUGAGGGCUGCUCGUCCGAGCCGGGUGGGUAGGUCGCUUGAGUUUGAUGGUGACGUCAGACCUAGAGAAAUGACAAUCACCUUAUCUUAUAAGGUAACAGAAUCCCGCUUAUGUCUUCCCCAAUAAA
Molecule: RNase P RNA, 365 nt
Filed under: Candidatus Limimorpha avicola
Lineage: Bacteria; Pseudomonadati; Bacteroidota; Bacteroidia; Bacteroidales
Description: RNase P RNA component class A
Rfam family: Bacterial RNase P class A
About the family: Ribonuclease P (RNase P) is a ubiquitous endoribonuclease, found in archaea, bacteria and eukarya as well as chloroplasts and mitochondria.
Source: RNAcentral